AGCUAGUACUGGCGGGAAUUCUUUACGACCAAAUGCACAACAAAUAUUCUCCAAAAACCGCUGCAUCUUGUGUGUGAACAUUUACAAACAAUUUGAUAUAAAUUGUACAUUUAAAUCAUCACUUGGGAGCAUAAAAUCACUUUUGACGUACGGUGCUUUGCAACCAACAACUUACCGCUGGUUUGGUGCUUGUUCACUGGGACGAUUCUAACUGGAACAUCCCCCCUCGUAAGCAAGCUACGCAAACCAGCCAAUAAGAUGCCAUGUUGAGUAGGUGAAGGCAAGACAAACUCAAACCAAAAACCCAUUGGCUUAACAAUAAAGUGGCAAGGGGAAUCACCAAUAUAACCCUGUUACACUUAUAACCUUGUCAACAUCUUGACUAUAUUUCCUAUUCAUUUUGCAACUCAUUUCAUGUAUGUUUUCCUGGAAAACAAGGACAUUUCUAAGUGACCCCAAACUUUUGAGCGAUAUCCAGAGAUGAGCGUGGGAAGAAGACCUACUCACCGAAAGUACUGACUGUCAUGUAAAGCCAUGCUAUUGAUGGGAAAUAUGCAUUGUCAUCAUUACGGCAAAUGUGGUCCAUUUUCGGUGGAGGUUCGACGUUUUAUGACUGUUCUCUUAUCUUUGACCCCUUACAUGACGAAAAGGUGGUGGAGAAGCCUGGCCAGCACCAAGGUCACGUUGAAGAACCCAGGAGCUUUCAAGAAGCAACGUUUUGAUGGCUUUAUUAGAGGGUGCACUGGACAGGGAGAGGUGCUUGUAAAGUGCCGGUCUUUAAAAUCAGAAUCUACAAGGAGGAU
Oncorhynchus keta (chum salmon) is the source of this 803-nucleotide long non-coding RNA. RefSeq lists it as uncharacterized. The record is from RefSeq and is a predicted model, not a curated record. The transcript is spliced from 4 exons. Lineage: Eukaryota; Metazoa; Chordata; Actinopteri; Salmoniformes; Salmonidae.